This 503-nucleotide ribosomal RNA is filed under the name uncultured bacterium. Its description in RNAcentral is "bacterial SSU rRNA". It matches the Rfam family "Bacterial small subunit ribosomal RNA", at positions 8 to 518 of the family's 1533-position model. The record is from RNAcentral.
AGAGUUUGAUCCUGGCUUAGGAUGAACGCUAGCUACAGGCUUAACACAUGCAAGUCGAGGGGCAGCAUGAGAUUAGCUUGCUAAUCUGAUGGCGACCGGCGCACGGGUGAGUAACGCGUAUCCAACCUUCCCCUUAGUAGGGCAUAGCCCGGCGAAAGUCGGAUUAAUACCCUAUGUUCUUCGUAGAGGACAUCUGAAAAUGAAGCAAAGAUUUAUCGCUAAGGGAUGGGGAUGCGUCUGAUUAGGUAGUCGGCGGGGUAACGGCCCACCGAGCCUGCGAUCAGUAGGGGUUCUGAGAGGAAGGUCCCCCACAUUGGAACUGAGACACGGUCCAAACUCCUACGGGAGGCAGCAGUGAGGAAUAUUGGGCAAUGGGCGAAAGCCUGACCCAGCAACGCCGCGUGAAGGAAGAAGGUUUUCGGAUUGUAAACUUCUGUUAUAGGGGAAAAGAAAGUGAUGGUACCCUAUGAGAAAGCUACGGCAAACUAUGUGCCAGCCGCUGC